RNAcentral lists this long non-coding RNA (243 nucleotides) under Lathyrus oleraceus (garden pea). RNAcentral's name for it is "Pisum sativum (pea) long non-coding RNA (PSAT_LNC041313)". Lineage: Eukaryota; Viridiplantae; Streptophyta; Magnoliopsida; Fabales; Fabaceae. The record is from RNAcentral.
GGUUGCAUGUAGAAAAACAAACUCAGUUUUUGAAAACCAGAAUUUCAUGUAUAUGGACCCAACAUAUUAUUCAAACAAGUUUAUUUGACAGUAAUAUAUAAGACAAUUAUUGCCCUUUUGUAAUUUUUACAAGUAAAGUGUAAACUUUGAAUUUUGUUUGAAAUUGUGAUUUCCGUUUUUGAUUUGGUUCUCACAAUAUAGAUACUACAUUCAUAGAAAGUAAGUUACUUUAACUUGUUGGUA